CCAAACUAUCCAAACACAAAAGGCCUCACACAGACACACACGUGCAGAUGAAUUGAAGAAGAAAUGUCACGGCUGUAGAAUGAGGGAUCCGAACAGGUGCUGAUGAAAUUGAAGAAUGAAAGGUUCCAAGAUUUGAUGAUUGCCGCGUCGGUUAUGGGUAAUCUUCGCUAAUGCAGUUUGCUGCAUUGAUGGCUUGGAACCCAGGUUGGAUAUCCCCAUAUUUGCUGCUUUCAGGUUUCUCUUUAGGGCUUAUUUGCUUUUUUUAAUUUGUUUUAUUCGCUGGCUUCGAACUUAGGUUAGGUAUCCCCAUAUUAGUUGUUGUCUGGAAUUCAGCCGAGACAUAAUAAAACUUAGCAGUAAGCCUUGACAAUUCUGAAUAAAAGCAGACAUAAGACUUAAUAAAACAAAGACUACACAUAAUAAUUGAUAAAAGUACACACCAUUGUUGUUACAUAGAUGUUAUAAUAUAACAGAAGAAAUAGACGAAAUCAAACUUAACAUAACAUUAGUCCCAUAAAGCUUAAGAGAACAAGGAUUACACAAUGAAUAAUUAAUUUCAGAACAAUAAGGGGAUAUGGGUCAGUGCUAGGCGACUAAGUCCAGGAGGGAGGUUUGAAAUCUUUUGAGUUUGUUAAAGAGGGUUAGGAAAAAAGCAAUUAAACAUACGUAGAACUCAGAUGGAUUGAGAAAUAAGAAAUUAGAUUGGACAAUGCAUAAGCUGUUAACUUAAUUAUCCAUUUUACAUCACUUAUUUAAUGGUUAAGCACAAAUUUUAUUUUAAUUAAGUAACACACACAACUAAAUACAUUUACUUUAACAUAGUUUAAAGUUAAAACAAUAUUACACAACUAAAUACAUUUACUUUAACAUAGUUUAAAGUUAAAACAAUAUUAAAACUUGCGGUCCGGUCUGGUUUUAUACGGUCGGUAUUGAUAUAAACCGUAAACAAACCCGUUCGUUACGGUUUGAAAUGUUUUAAACCGACCGACUGAAAGUUAGAAAAAAAAACGACUGCGAAACCAAACCGUUGACCCGUUUGGAUGGUUUCACAGUUUUAAACCGAACCGUGAGGCUCAUUGGUAAACUCUUAAAUAAAUUUUUAAUUUUGCCAAAAAAGGCCUCCACUUCGUAGUUCGCUUAGGGUCUCCAAAAACGUAGGAACGGCCCUGUUAUCAGCACGACAAUGCUCUUUUCAAAACCCUAGUUCGCUAGAGAUUAUAGCCGCCACCCGAUGAAUGUAUGCCUCGUUCGUCACACAAUGUUCGGCAUCUUAAUCCAAGAUCUAGAUACCAAAGACAAACCGGAUCAAUGGUAUGUCUUCUUUCCUUAGUUUAUCUCAUAGAAACAUCAUGAACAAAUAGUAAUUAAGAUUCCUAAAUAUCGGCGCUAUAAAUUUUUCCUUUGAGCCAUCUACUUUUUCCUCAAGUAAAUGUGAAUAAUAACACUUAUAAUUCUGUGAAUUUGAGAAAAGAAUUAAAAUUUCAUAUAAACCUUAGCAUCAUGUACUAUAUUGUAUCUUUAUUUAUGGGUUUUAAAUUUUAUUUAUAAAAGGUAAAUGCAUAUAGAUAAUGAAAGAAAAUAUAUAUUAGAACGAAAAAUAAUUGGUAUUUAGUAAGAUUUAAUAUUGUUUGGAUUGAAUACUUUUCAUAAUGUUUGUGAUCGUGAUGUUGAUUUUUUUUUUUUUCUUCAAAGUAGAAGGAUGAAAUAUAAAAGUGAAUAUCUGAUUAAAAGAACAUAAUAUUAUUUCAUCUUCAUAAGUUUACUGGGGAGCUUUUUUUGCCCAUGAACUUUGAUUUAAUUAGUUUUAUUAAAUAUAAUUUUGAACUUGAUAAAAUUAGAGUGUCCUUUUAUUGAUUAUUUAGAUUAAAUUAAGUUCUUAAUUUUAUGAGAUAUUUUAUGUUAGUUGAUUAGGCUAUAGGGUGUGGUCAUCACCCUCAUGAUCACCAUGACCCUCCACAUCAGCGCCAUGUCAUCUACUUCUAAUCCAUCAUCCAAAACCACUAUUCUAAGGGUGUGGUCAUGACUCAAACCACUAUUAUCUUACUUUAAUUUAUUUUUGUGAAAAGGAAAGAAAAUAUUAAAUAUGGAAAGUGGGCUCAUGGUUGCCAUGGUUUAAUCCAUGGGAAUCAUGGUGGAUGAGAUAAGGAGGUGGUGUAGCAAUCUAUUAAUGGUCCUACGUGGCGAUUAAUGACCCAACCAUGUCCUUCAGCCUCUAUAGCCUUAGUUAAAUAACUUUAUGGAUAUAUAAAGUUUAUAUUCACUAGAUGAAUAUUUUGAUUUCAUUAAUUACAAAGUCAUGCAUUCCAUCUGAUUCAGUUUCUAAUUAUUAUUGUUAUUCACACUUUAAACGAGUUCAUAUAUAGAUAUAUAUGUUUUGGGGCGAUGUCCAUGGCUAGGGUUAGUGAUUGGAAUAAAAUAAUAACCGAACAAAGAUUAAAGGAAAAAAGUGAAUUUAUUAUAAUUAAAGAUACUAAAAUUGAGUUGUUUUAGGGGGUGUUUGGGAUUGCGUUUUCAACCUGAUUAUUUGAUUAUUGUGUUUUGAAAUCGCAAAAAAUCUAUUUUGAGUGUUUGGUAAAAAAUUAAUAAAAAGUGAUUUUUUACGUUUUGUAGAGUUCAAAACGUGAUAAUCCAUAAGUAGGUCACCCCUUGCUGCAGGAAAACGUGAUAAUCCAAAAACUGAUUUUUUACGUUUUCACUUAGUUAUUUUUUAAAAUAUAUAUACUUGCCAAACACUCAAAUAGUUGAUUAUCUGAUUAUUGUGAUAUCUAACAACAUAAUCAAAUCCAAACAAUGUUGAUUAUCUGAUUAUUGUGAUAUCAAACAACAUAAUCAAAUCCAAACACUAUCUUUCUGCAGCACGUUUUCUUACAGCUAAUUAUCUGAUUCUGAUUAUUCAAAACGCAUAAUCUAUUUUCAAAACUCAACCCCAAACACCCCCUUAGUUAUUAAAUAUUGUCGUCUAUUUUUCACAAUAAUCAUAGUUAUUCGAUUCUUUAAAGAAUAAUCAUAACUUGUGUAUGUUAUGAACUCUAGUACUAUUGAUAUGAUCAUGAUUUAUUAUUAGUUUUCCUGAUAUUACAUGUAAUAAAUAUUUGAAAAGGUUAAACGGUUACAAUAUAAGUAUUUCUCAAACUAUAAAACGUUAUAAUAAAAUUUGGUGAUAGUGUAUUUGGCUCUAAAUAAUGUAAUAAAUUAUAUAUUAAACUGAUUGUAAUUGGUUCAUCAAUUUGCAACUAAUUAAUAGAAAAUUGCAAAGAACAGUUUAAGUUUGUGAGCUUAUCUUCUGUUUUUUAUAUUGAUUUAUAUAUAACUAGGUUAGAACCCCGUGUAAUACACGGGUUGAAUAAAUAUAAUGUUCUAUACUUUGUCACAGUAGAAUCAAAACCUCUGAAAAAAGACACAUUCGUAGGUAUUGCAAAUGUGGAUCAAUGAUUAAAUGAGUGUGGGCACUUGAGGAUUGUGCUCCUAUCAAUGAAGGUAAGUGAGGGUAUGUUUUAAGUGAAAAUGAUAUGCCUUUGUGUGAUCGGGUAAAUGUGUGAGGGUAUGUGAAAGAAUGAGGGUUAUGCCCCUAGCACCCUUAGAAUCAUAUCUUCCCUUGUAUGCACACCAAGAGAUGACACAAAUGUUUGCCACGAUGGAACCAAAACCUCUGAAAAAAAUAUUUGUAAGUAUUGAAAAUCCAUAAUUUAUAAACCAUAACAUAUAUAGAUCAAUAUUUAACCAAAACGACAAGCUUACCCAUGUAUAACAAUGACCCCAAUCAAAGGGCCAAAUUUCUAAAUUUCAAGCUGAGAUAAGAGCCGUAUCCACUAUACAUUUUAAAAGAGUAUAAUACAAUUGCAUCUAAUUUGAGCAGCAAGUUAACAAUAGACUAAACGAAGAGCUUACAAGAAUGACAUGUAUAUAAUCUUUUCAUGUUAUUGAAGUUUCAACUUUUGCCAGGGGAUGUGGAACCAACUUUAACUAUUGAAAAAUGAGCCUAUUUUUUGGGUUGUCUCGUCUUCUAUGAGUGGCACAUGUUAGAAUGCAUCAUUAUUUGCCAAGUUAAAAGAACAAUUUCUCUAUUAAAAUCUACCAAAGACACUUUCAUAAGAAAUACAUC
Molecule: long non-coding RNA, 4102 nt
Filed under: Helianthus annuus (common sunflower)
Lineage: Eukaryota; Viridiplantae; Streptophyta; Magnoliopsida; Asterales; Asteraceae
Description: hypothetical non coding rna
Source: RNAcentral